Molecule: ribosomal RNA, 253 nt
Filed under: uncultured bacterium
Lineage: Bacteria
Description: partial 16S ribosomal RNA
Rfam family: Bacterial small subunit ribosomal RNA
Source: RNAcentral
UACGUAGGGCGCAAGCGUUGUCCGGAAUUAUUGGGCGUAAAGCGCUCGUAGGUGGCUUGUCGCGUCGGGUGUGAAAGCUUGGGGCUUAACUCCAGGUCUGCAUUCGAUACGGGCUGGCUAGAGGUAGGUAGGGGAGAACGGAAUUCCUGGUGUAGCGGUGAAAUGCGCAGAUAUCAGGAGGAACACCGGUGGCGAAGGCGGUUCUCUGGGCCGUACCUGACGCUGAGGAGCGAAAGCGUGGGGAGCGAACAGG